This 255-nucleotide ribosomal RNA is filed under the name uncultured bacterium. Its description in RNAcentral is "partial 16S ribosomal RNA". It matches the Rfam family "Bacterial small subunit ribosomal RNA", at positions 524 to 776 of the family's 1533-position model. The record is from RNAcentral.
UACGAAGGGGGCUAGCGUUGCUCGGAAUCACUGGGCGUAAAGGGUGCGUAGGCGGGUCUUUAAGUCAGGGGUGAAAUCCUGGAGCUCAACUCCAGAACUGCCUUUGAUACUGAGGAUCUUGAGUUCGGGAGAGGUGAGUGGAACUGCGAGUGUAGAGGUGAAGUUUCGUAGAUAUUCGCAAGAACACCAGUGGCGAAGGCGGCUCACUGGCCCGAUACUGACGCUGAGGCACGAAAGCGUGGGGGAGCAAACAGG